RNAcentral lists this unclassified non-coding RNA (253 nucleotides) under uncultured Gammaproteobacteria bacterium. Its description in RNAcentral is "contains 16S-23S intergenic spacer region". It matches the Rfam family "Bacterial small subunit ribosomal RNA", at positions 524 to 776 of the family's 1533-position model. The record is from RNAcentral. Lineage: Bacteria; Pseudomonadati; Pseudomonadota; Gammaproteobacteria.
UACGGAGGGUGCAAGCGUUAAUCGGAGUUACUGGGCGUAAAGCGCGCGUAGGCGGCUUGGUAAGUCGGAUGUGAAAGCCCAGGGCUUAACCUUGGAAUUGCAUUCGAUACUGCUGAACUAGAGUAUGGUAGAGUGAAGUGGAAGGUCCGGUGUAGCGGUGAAAUGCGUAGAUAUCGGAAGGAACACCAGUGGAGAAGGCGACAUCCUGGGCCAAUACUGACGCUGAGGUGCGAAAGCGUGGGGAGCAAACAGG